This 73-nucleotide transfer RNA is filed under the name Marmota monax (woodchuck). RNAcentral's name for it is "tRNA.Ala". Lineage: Eukaryota; Metazoa; Chordata; Mammalia; Rodentia; Sciuridae. The record is from RNAcentral.
GUGGGGUUGUGGCUCAGUGGUAGAGCACUUGCCUGGCAUGUGUGAGGCACUGGGUUCAGUACUCAGCACCACA